AGCGAACGCUGGCGGCGUACUUAACACAUGCAAGUCGAACGAGGAUCAUCGGGUUAGCAAUAAUUCGGUGGUCCUAGUGGCGCACGGGUGAGUAACACGUGGGUGACCUGCCCUUGAGCUCGGGAUACCCCCUCGAAAGGGGGGCGUAAUACCGGAUACGUUCCUCGGUCGAAAGACUGAGGAGGAAAGGUGGCGCAAGCUGCCGCUCUUGGAGGGGCUCGCGGCCUAUCAGCUAGUUGGCGGGGUAACGGCCCACCAAGGCUAUGACGGGUAGCUGGUCUGAGAGGACGACCAGCCACACGGGGACUGAGACACGGCCCCGACUCCUACGGGAGGCAGCAGUGGGGAAUUUUCCGCAAUGGGCGAAAGCCUGACGGAGUGACGCCGCGUGUGGGACGAAGGCCUUCGGUCGUAACC
Molecule: ribosomal RNA, 417 nt
Filed under: uncultured bacterium
Lineage: Bacteria
Description: bacterial SSU rRNA
Rfam family: Bacterial small subunit ribosomal RNA
Source: RNAcentral